AGGUAAAAGGCUAUUAGCAUCUGACUACGGAUCAGAAGGUUGGGGGUUCGAAUCCUCC
This 58-nucleotide transfer RNA is filed under the name Corynebacterium ulcerans. RNAcentral's name for it is "tRNA-Arg (ACG) (tRNA-Arg-ACG-2-1)". It matches the Rfam family "tRNA", at positions 1 to 63 of the family's 71-position model. Rfam says of the family: Transfer RNA (tRNA) molecules are approximately 80 nucleotides in length. Their secondary structure includes four short double-helical elements and three loops (D, anti-codon, and T loops). Further hydrogen bonds mediate the characteristic L-shaped molecular structure. tRNAs have two regions of fundamental functional importance: the anti-codon, which is responsible for specific mRNA codon recognition, and the 3' end, to which the tRNAs corresponding amino acid is attached (by aminoacyl-tRNA synthetases). tRNAs cope with the degeneracy of the genetic code in two manners: having more than one tRNA (with a specific anti-codon) for a particular amino acid; and 'wobble' base-pairing, i.e. permitting non-standard base-pairing at the 3rd anti-codon position. Lineage: Bacteria; Bacillati; Actinomycetota; Actinomycetes; Mycobacteriales; Corynebacteriaceae. The record is from RNAcentral.